ACCAUCACGGGGUAACCAGGAGAGAAUAAGAGGGAGCUGAGAGAGGCCAGACUCAGCUGGGAGCUCUUUGAAGCUGAGCUCUCGGGUCCUCUCGCCAUGGCCUGGCCUCUCGUCUGUCUCUCACUGCUCACCUUCUGCUCAGGCUCCCUCUCCCAGGAUGUGGUGACUCAGCCUCCCUCUGCCUCUGCAGCCCUGGGGAGCUCGGCCAGACUCUCCUGCACCCUGAGCAGUGCGUCCAGUAGUUAUUAUGUUUAUUGGCACCAGCAGAGCUCUGGAAAGGCCCCUCGGUACCUCCUGUAUGUCACCAGCAGUGGAGGUACAGGCAGGGGCGACGGGAUCCCUGAGCGCUUCUCUGGCUCCAGAUCUGGGACUAACCGAUUCCUGUCCAUCAGCAACGUCCAGGCUGAGGAUGAAGCCGAUUAUUUCUGUCAGGCAUAUUACUACCAUAGUAGUAGUAAUUUUGGUUAUACACAGUGA
Non-coding RNA from Monodelphis domestica (gray short-tailed opossum), 477 nucleotides. The record is from the annotation of a RefSeq genome assembly. Lineage: Eukaryota; Metazoa; Chordata; Mammalia; Didelphimorphia; Didelphidae.